This 600-nucleotide ribosomal RNA is filed under the name uncultured marine crenarchaeote. RNAcentral describes it as "bacterial SSU rRNA". It matches the Rfam family "Archaeal small subunit ribosomal RNA", at positions 880 to 1478 of the family's 1478-position model. Lineage: Archaea; Thermoproteati; Thermoproteota. The record is from RNAcentral.
CACAAGGGGUGAAGCCUGCGGUUCAAUUGGAGUCAACGCCAGAAAUCUUACCCGGAGAGACAGCAGAAUGAAGGUCAAGCUGAAGACUUUACCAGACAAGCUGAGAGGUGGUGCAUGGCCGUCGCCAGCUCGUGCUGUGAGAUGUCCUGUUAAGUCAGGUAACGAGCGAGAUCCCUGCCACUAGUUGCUAUCAUUAUUCUCAGGAAUAGUGGAGCGAAUUAGUGGGACUGCCGUUGUUAAAACGGAGGAAGGAGGGGGCCACGGCAGGUCAGUAUGCCCCGAAACUCUGGGGCCACACGCGGGCUGCAAUGGUAGUGACAAUGAGUUCCAAACUCGAAAGAGAGUGGCAAUCUCUAAACGCUACCACAGUUAUGACUGAGGGCUGUAACUCGCCCUCACGAAUAUGGAAUCCCUAGUAACCGCGUGUCAUUACCGCGCGGUGAAUACGUCCCUGCUCCUUGCACACACCGCCCGUCGUUUCAUCGAAGUUUGCUUUUAGCGAGGUGAUGUUUAAUUGGCAUUAUCGAACUUGAGGUAAGCGACGAGGGAAAAGUCGUAACAAGGUGACCGUAGGGGAACCUGCGGUCGGAUCACCUCCUU